UACAGAGGGGGCAAGCGUUGUUCGGAAUCACUGGGCGUAAAGGGCGCGUAGGCGGCUUUGUAAGUCGGGGGUGAAAGCCUGUGGCUCAACCACAGAAUUGCCUUCGAUACUGCAUGGCUUGAGACCGGAAGAGGUAAGUGGAAUUGCGAGUGUAGAGGUGAAAUUCGUAGAUAUUCGCAAGAACACCAGUGGCGAAGGCGGCUUACUGGUCCGGUUCUGACGCUGAGGCGCGAAAGCGUGGGGAGCAAACAGG
This 253-nucleotide ribosomal RNA is filed under the name uncultured bacterium. RNAcentral's name for it is "partial 16S ribosomal RNA". It matches the Rfam family "Bacterial small subunit ribosomal RNA", at positions 524 to 776 of the family's 1533-position model. The record is from RNAcentral.